AGUGAACGCUGGCGGUAGGCCUAACACAUGCAAGUCGAACGGCAGCACAGUAAGAGCUUGCUCUUACGGGUGGCGAGUGGCGGACGGGUGAGGAAUACAUCGGAAUCUACUUUUUCGUGGGGGAUAACGUAGGGAAACUUACGCUAAUACCGCAUACGACCUACGGGUGAAAGCAGGGGAUCUUCGGACCUUGCGCGAUUGAAUGAGCCGAUGUCGGAUUAGCCAGUUGGCGGGGUAAAGGCCCACCAAGGCGACGAUCCGUAGCUGGUCUGAGAGGAUGAUCAGCCACACUGGAACUGAGACACGGUCCAGACUCCUACGGGAGGCAGCAGUGGGGAAUAUUGGACAAUGGGCGCAAGCCUGAUCCAGCCAUACCGCGUGGGUGAAGAAGGCCUUCGGGUUGUAAAGCCCUUUUGUUGGGAAAGAAAAGCAGCAGGUUAAUACCCCGCUGUUCUGACGUUACCCAAAGAAUAAGCACCGGCUAACUUCGUG
Molecule: ribosomal RNA, 492 nt
Filed under: uncultured bacterium
Lineage: Bacteria
Description: partial 16S ribosomal RNA
Rfam family: Bacterial small subunit ribosomal RNA
Source: RNAcentral